Small nucleolar RNA from Drosophila suzukii, 325 nucleotides. The record is from RefSeq and is a predicted model, not a curated record. Lineage: Eukaryota; Metazoa; Arthropoda; Insecta; Diptera; Drosophilidae.
UGCCUAUGAUGACAUAUUCGACAUCGGAAUUUGCAUAGCUCAGGCUGCUUGAGGUGGAUCCUGUGAUCAGACUCUAAGUCGACAAUUCCAGCUUCUUCCGUUGUAAUCUUGGAUGCUGCCUUGCAGAAUAGGUAGUGGGCCGUAAGGCCAGCGGAACAUUACGAGCCAGGGGCAAGACUGCUGUCUGUCGUGAAAUCCAAGACUGACAACUUAGGCUAUGGCUUACAAAACAUAAUCAUUAAAAUGAAGCACAGAGUAUUGUCGACCCAGGAUCCACUUAGGCCUGAGUUGCCCAUUGACGACGUCUUUAGUAAUCUGAGAGCAU